AAAACGCAAACUCAACAGAGUAAACUCAAUACGAAACCUAUUUCAAUCCCUAAACAAAAUCUCUAUCUCCUUCAAACGCUGUCUCCAUCUCUCUGUCUCUGUCUCUCCUUCAAACGCAAAUUCAACCCCUAAACAAAUCUCUAUCUCCUUCAAACGCAAAUUCAACCCCUAAACAAAUCUCUAUCUCCUUCAAACGCUGUCUCUGUCUCUCUUCCCCUGCGACGGUAAACGAAUUCAACUAAGCUACAAACGCUUUGCCUCACAACCAACGGCUACAGGGCAGCCAAGUAGAUGAAUUUACAGGACAAGUCUGGAACUUUGGUAGAAGAAAGGGUGGUGAAAAUGGACAAAUAUAGCCAAGGCUUUGUGGUUGAGUUUCUAUUUCCUUUGAUAAUUUUGAGAAGCUGCCAAGGCUUUUGGUGUGGGCAUGGGAGGAAACCUUGCCGCUUUUACUUCAAAGUAGUUGUUUUCAUGGUUAUUUAUAGCUCCUGACAGCAAUGAUAUCUCCACAGCUAUACAGUUCAUCAAUAAGGCAAUGCCAUGGAUUACAUUGAUGGUCAUUGGCUGGGAAUAUGGUGCAAACAUGUUGACGAAGUACUUGGCAGAAGCUGGAGAGAAUACAUUGCUUACAGCUGCCAUGUGCAUAGACAAUCCAUUUGACUUAGAGGAGGCUACAAGGUCCUUUCCUUAUCACAUGGCCAUUGGUCAGAAGUUCACUGUUGGACUGAUAGAUAUUCUAAGAUCUAAUAAGGAAACCCCCAAAUCAAAAACCAUAGCCCCUUCCUAUCAAAAAAGAAAAAAAGAAGAAGAAGAAGGAAAACAAUAGCUUCUCAUCCGUUUCUCUCUCCAGUCUCUAUGCUUCGCCUUUAGUGCACCUUCUCCUUUGUCUCUGCUCCUAAUGAUGAAUUGGGAUUGAAGGGAGCAAAAUCAAGAUGCCGUGGACGUCCUCUUUUGAUUCAAAUUCAUAAAAGCUUCCUUACUCUCUUUCUCUCUCCAUGUGGCGUGAGGUCAAAUAUUUGCUUUCUCUGUUCUAAAUAACAAUUUAUAGAACUCAAUGUUUUAUGUUAAAUAAAUAUAUGAUGUACUCUUCUAUAUAAUGCAAAUUUGUUGUACUAUGUUCUUUCUCUACUCUUUUUGAGUCAUAGCAAAAGAAUUUGACAUUAGUAACUAUAUUCUAUUUAUUUAUUAUGAAAAUAAGAUUGUGAUCAUUA
Molecule: long non-coding RNA, 1211 nt
Organism: Quercus robur (English oak)
Lineage: Eukaryota; Viridiplantae; Streptophyta; Magnoliopsida; Fagales; Fagaceae
Exons: 6
Source: RefSeq, a predicted model, not a curated record